This is a non-coding RNA of Microcebus murinus (gray mouse lemur), 156 nucleotides long. The record is from RefSeq and is a predicted model, not a curated record. NCBI's taxonomy places the organism in Eukaryota, Metazoa, Chordata, Mammalia, Primates, Cheirogaleidae.
CUUUUGAUGAGGCCAUUGCAGAACUUGAUACACUGAAUGAAGACUCAUACAAAGACAGCACCCUCAUCAUGCAGUUGCUUAGAGACAACCUAACACUAUGGACAUCAGACAGUGCAGGAGAAGAAUGUGAUGCCGCAGAAGGGGCUGAAAACUAAA